Molecule: long non-coding RNA, 1572 nt
Filed under: Homo sapiens (human)
Lineage: Eukaryota; Metazoa; Chordata; Mammalia; Primates; Hominidae
Description: non-protein coding lnc-CAMK1D-1:2
Source: RNAcentral
UGAGGGGCACCUGGUCCUCGGUUGGGGCUGCAGGUGUGCCUGACAUUUGCAAAAGAUAUUCCAGUCUUUCGAUGUUCAGAAUUGAAAAUGUGGAGAUAGAAAAGCUCAAACAGACUCCUAAAAGGAGGGUUUCUUUCCUGAAGACUCCAAGAAAAUGAGUGUGCAGAUGAGUUAGCUUGACAACCUCAACUCUGGGGAGCAGGCAGGCGGUCUGAGGAAGAUAAGGGCCCACGCCCCACUCACCUGGCACCUGUUCGGUGGUCCCGGGGCAUCAUGGUCUGCAGCUCUGGGCCCCCAGCCCCACUGUGAAGUCAGUCCUGCAUGCUGGCCGAGGCCCGGCCACCUCCCGAUGCCUCCAGAGUCAGUGGGAAGGAGUCAGCCCUUCCCAGACUUCCCCGCCACCUCCAGCAGGAGCAGCUCAGUUUGUGGCUCUGGGAGCUCCGCUUUUGCAAACCCAAAAAGGCUGUGCAUUUGGAAGCCAAACGCUCAGCAUGCGGCUGCCGAGUCUGGUUUUGUGGACAAAGCAAACUGUGGAAUGGCUUCUCGGUGUCUGUAUAAAGGGACAAACGGUUGCAUUCACCCUUUGUACUAUAACACCGCUUCUGCAUUCGCCAUAUCCGUUUUUUAACCUUUUUGUCUCCGGGGAACUUCUCAUUCGAUUAUUAUGUCUUCUGAUGAUUUGCCAUGUUAUUUUAAAGGUGAUUUUAUUUUCUUAUGGACAGGAAAAAAGAAAAUGAGGAGGAGUUGGUUUUACUCUUAGAGAUAAGACUUCAGCAGGGGCUCAGAAACCCCAAACUCUAGUUAAAUUGCUUCUCGGAGGAAAAUCUUAAUCUAGACAGAUUCAGAUUCCCAGGCUCUCCUGGAAGCCCUGCACUUCAGGGCACAGGGGCCCUGGGACGUGGUUGGCAGCCAGGCUGCGAGAGAGCUAAAAAGGAACAAGAACAUCAGCUCGGAUGUUUGUCUCUCAGCCCUGACACCUGCCACUCUCCUUCCCGGGGCACUUGGCCCUAUCAGAGGGACAUGAAAUGCUGUCCGAAUGGUGGCAGAAAUGCAGCGACAUUGCAUGCAGCAGAGUCUUUGCUUCGAAAGAUGGGGCGCCAUGUUUCAGAGAACAUUUAUCUUAGUCCCACGUUCAGGUGAGAAGACCUCAAAGGUACCCUCUGUCCAGAAUAAACAUUGGAACAAUCUCUCAAUUGGCUUUUGUCACUACACAUAAUGUAAUCUCCCUUCUUUCAGCUCCCCCAACAGUGAGCAUGCUUCCCAAAAAAUUACAACAUCAAAACCAGGAAUGUCCCCGCAUCUACUAUUACCAGGCUUGCAAUUGGUUCAAUUUUCCCAUAAAAACAUGUUUGUCCAAAAGAAGGGAAACUGUGAAUUUAUUCCAUGCAUGUAAUAAACUCUGCAAGAAGUUUAACCCACAUAGGUUUGCGGCACUGCAAAAUUGUUCAUGGGUCUAUGUAGCAAAUGAUUCUCUGCCUUGACAAUCAUGUAUACAUAUCAAGAUUUCUAUCAUAAUGAUAAUGAGAUUGAUGACUUCCUGUUUUCCUCCAAUAAAGACAAUUAAUCACCUUC